RNAcentral lists this ribosomal RNA (491 nucleotides) under uncultured bacterium. RNAcentral describes it as "partial 16S ribosomal RNA". It matches the Rfam family "Bacterial small subunit ribosomal RNA", at positions 29 to 507 of the family's 1533-position model. The record is from RNAcentral.
AGUGAACGCUGGCGGUAGGCCUAACACAUGCAAGUCGAACGGCAGCACAGUAAGAGCUUGCUCUUACGGGUGGCGAGUGGCGGACGGGUGAGGAAUACAUCGGAAUCUACUUUUUCGUGGGGGAUAACGUAGGGAAACUACGCUAAUACCGCAUACGAACUACGGGUGAAAGCAGGGGAUCUUCGGACCUUGCGCGAUUGAAUGAGCCGAUGUCGGAUUAGCUAGUUGGCGGGGUAAAGGCCCACCAAGGCGACGAUCCGUAGCUGGUCUGAGAGGAUGAUCAGCCACACUGGAACUGAGACACGGUCCAGACUCCUACGGGAGGCAGCAGUGGGGAAUAUUGGACAAUGGGCGCAAGCCUGAUCCAGCCAUACCGCGUGGGUGAAGAAGGCCUUCGGGUUGUAAAGCCCUUUUGUUGGGAAAGAAAAGCAGCAGGUUAAUACCCCGCUGUUCUGACGGUACCCAAAGAAUAAGCACCGGCUAACUUCGUG